UACAGAGACUGCAAGCGUUAUUCGGAUUCACUGGGCGUAAAGGGUGCGUAGGUGGCCAGGUAAGUUUGAUGUGAAAGCUCGGAGCUUAACUCCGAAAUGGCAUUGAAUACUAUCUGGCUUGAGGGUCGGAGGGGAGACUGGAAUUCUCGGUGUAGCAGUGAAAUGCGUAGAUAUCGAGAGGAACACCAGUGGCGAAGGCGAGUCUCUGGACGACACCUGACACUGAGGCACGAAAGCUAGGGGAGCAAACAGG
Molecule: ribosomal RNA, 253 nt
Filed under: uncultured bacterium
Lineage: Bacteria
Description: partial 16S ribosomal RNA
Rfam family: Bacterial small subunit ribosomal RNA
Source: RNAcentral